CAGUUUAUGGCAAAGCACCGUGAAAGAUGUCCUUGUACAACAAUGAUUAAUCAAAGCAUUGAACGAGAAGCAACCAAUGACCAUGAGAGAUGAUGAUUGGAAGGAGCUUCAACAAAGGGCUGUGAGUACGAUUAGAUUGAUAUUAGCCCUAGACGUGAAGUACAAUGUCUUGAAAGAGACCUCGCCUGUUAUUUUGUGGAAGAAAUUAGAGAGCCUGUACAUGUCAAAAUCA
This 232-nucleotide unclassified non-coding RNA is filed under the name Hevea brasiliensis (rubber tree). The record is from RNAcentral. Lineage: Eukaryota; Viridiplantae; Streptophyta; Magnoliopsida; Malpighiales; Euphorbiaceae.